Oncorhynchus tshawytscha (Chinook salmon) is the source of this 1283-nucleotide long non-coding RNA. The record is from Ensembl. NCBI's taxonomy places the organism in Eukaryota, Metazoa, Chordata, Actinopteri, Salmoniformes, Salmonidae.
CCCGUGCUAAGGACUAUUCAACGCUGGUCUGACCAAUCGGAAUCCACGAUUCAGGAUUAUUUUGAUCACGUGGACUGGGAUAUGCUCGGGUAGCUUGCGAAAAUAAUCUAGAUGCAUACACGGAUACGGUGACUGAGUUUAUAAGGAAGUGUAUUGGAGAUGUAGUUCCCACUGUGACUAUGAAAACCUACCCUAACCACAGUAGCAUUCGCACGAAACUGAAAGCGCGAACCACCUCAUUUUCCCCUUGGCAAGGUGACUGGGAAUAUGGCAGAAUAUAAACAGUGUAGUUAUUCACUCCGCAAGCUAACAAGCUAAACGUCAUUAUAGAGAUAAACUGGAGUCACAAUUCAACGGCUCAGACACGAGACGUAUGUGGCGUCGACUACAGACAAUCACAGACUACAAAAGUAAAACCAGCCACGUCGCAGAAGCCGACAUCUUGCUUCCGGACAAGUUAACCACAUUCUUUGCUCGCUUUGAGGAUAACACAGCGCCACGGACGUGGCGCGCUACCAAGGACUGUGGGCUCUCCUUCUCCGUGGCCGACUCUGCUGUCCCCACAUGCUUCAAGAAGGCCACCAUUGUUCCUGUACCCAUGAAGGCAAAGAUGCACAAUUGAAAGCAUCCUGUGAGGCUGUAUCGCUGCCUAGAACGGCAACUGCACCGCCCGCAACCGCAAAGCUCUCCAGAGGGCAGUGAGGUCUGCCCAACGCAUUACCGGGGCAAACUACCCGCCCUCCAGGACACAGGAUGAUGAUGUCACAGGAUGGCCGAAAAGAUCAGCAAGGACAUCAACAACCAUUCACCCCACUAUCAUCCAGAAGGCGAGGUCAGUACAGGUGCAUCAAAGCUGGGACAGAGACUCAAAAACAACUUAUAUCUCAAAGCCAUCAGACUGUUAAACAGCCAUCACUAACACAUUAGAGGCUACUGCCUAUGAGAUGACUAAUGCCAGGUAUGUGCAAACCUGGUGGCCAACUACAAGAAAUGUCUGACCUCUGUGAUUGCCAACAAAGGUUUUGUCACUAAGUACUAAGUCAUGUUUUGCAGAGGGGUCAAAUACUUCUUUGCCUCAUUAAAAUGCAUAUUUGACGUGUUUUUCUGGAUUUUCUUUUUGUUAUUCUGUCUCUCACUGUUCAAAUAAACCUACCAUUAAAAUUAUAGACUGAUAAUUUCUUUGUCAGUGGGCAAACAUACAAAAUCAGCAGGGGAUCAAAUACUUUUUUCCCUCAAUGUAUGGAUAUAGUCUUAUAUGUACAGUUGAAGUCGGUGGUUUACAU